Molecule: ribosomal RNA, 468 nt
Filed under: uncultured bacterium
Lineage: Bacteria
Description: partial 16S ribosomal RNA
Rfam family: Bacterial small subunit ribosomal RNA
Source: RNAcentral
GACGAACGCUGGCGGCGUGCUUAACACAUGCAAGUCGAACGGAAAGGCCCUGCUUUUGUGGGGUGCUCGAGUGGCGAACGGGUGAGUAACACGUGAGUAACCUGCCCUUGACUUUGGGAUAACUUCAGGAAACUGGGGCUAAUACCGGAUAGGAGCUCCUGCUGCAUGGUGGGGGUUGGAAAGUUUCGGCGGUUGGGGAUGGACUCGCGGCUUAUCAGCUUGUUGGUGGGGUAGUGGCUUACCAAGGCUUUGACGGGUAGCCGGCCUGGGAGGGUGACCGGCCACCUUGGGACUGCGAUACGGCCCAGACUGCUACGGGAGGCAGCAGGGGGGAAUAUGGCACAAUGGGCGGAAGCGUGAUGCAGCAACGCCGCGUGCGGGAUGACGGCCUUCGGGUUGUAAACCGCUUUCGCCUGUGACGAAGCGUGAGUGACGGUAAUGGGUAAAGAAGCACCGGCUAACUACGUG